RNAcentral lists this ribosomal RNA (253 nucleotides) under uncultured bacterium. Its description in RNAcentral is "partial 16S ribosomal RNA". It matches the Rfam family "Bacterial small subunit ribosomal RNA", at positions 524 to 776 of the family's 1533-position model. The record is from RNAcentral.
UACGAAGGGGGCUAGCGUUGUUCGGAUUUACUGGGCGUAAAGCGCACGUAGGCGGAUUGGUCAGUUAGGGGUGAAAUCCUGGAGCUCAACUCCAGAACUGCCUUUAAUACUGCCAGUCUCGAGUCCGGAAGAGGUAAGUGGAACUCCUAGUGUAGAGGUGGAAUUCGUAGAUAUUAGGAAGAACACCAGUGGCGAAGGCGGCUUACUGGUCCGGUACUGACGCUGAGGUGCGAAAGCGUGGGUAGCAAACAGG